GCAUGGUCUGUGGUUGGAAAGAUUUUUCGGUUGGGGAUGGGCUCGCGGCCUAUCAGCUUGUUGGUGAGGUAAUGGCUCACCAAGGCGUCGACGGGUAGCCGGCCUGAGAGGGUGACCGGCCACACUGGGACUGAGACACGGCCCAGACUCCUACGGGAGGCAGCAGUGGGGAAUAUUGCACAAUGGGCGCAAGCCUGAUGCAGCAACGCCGCGUGAGGGAUGACGGCCUUCGGGUUGUAAACCUCUUUUAGCAGGGAAGAAGCGAAAGUGACGGUACCUGCAGAAAAAGCGCCGGCUAACUACGUGCCAGCAGCCGCGGUAAUACGUAGGGCGCAAGCGUUAUCCGGAAUUAUUGGGCGUAAAGAGCUCGUAGGCGGUUUGUCGCGUCUGCUGUGAAAUCCGGAGGCUCAACCUCCGGCCUGCAGUGGGUACGGGCAGACUAGAGUGCGGUAGGGGAGAUUGGAAUUCCUGGUGUAGCGGUGGAAUGCGCAGAUAUCAGGAGGAACACCGAUGGCGAAGGCAGAUCUCUGGGCCGUAACUGACGCUGAGGAGCGAAAGGGUGGGGAGCAAACAGGCUUAGAUACCCUGGUAGUCCACCCCGUAAACGUUGGGAACUAGUUGUGGGGUCCAUUCCACGGAUUCCGUGACGCAGCU
Molecule: ribosomal RNA, 654 nt
Filed under: Microbacterium sp.
Lineage: Bacteria; Bacillati; Actinomycetota; Actinomycetes; Micrococcales; Microbacteriaceae
Description: bacterial SSU rRNA
Rfam family: Bacterial small subunit ribosomal RNA
Source: RNAcentral